UUGAGUUUCUGAAGUUUAAUCAAAUCUGAGUAGAGAAUCUGUUUCUGUAAUAUUUUCAAUAUGUUUAUGCAUAUACGCCUACAAAGUUUUAAAAGUACAUUUUGUGUGUGUGUGUGUGUGUGUGUGUGCGUGCGUGCUGGGGAUUGAACCCACACUACAUAUGCAUUCCAA
RNAcentral lists this small RNA (171 nucleotides) under Marmota monax (woodchuck). The record is from RNAcentral. Lineage: Eukaryota; Metazoa; Chordata; Mammalia; Rodentia; Sciuridae.